GGAGAGGUGUCCGAGUGGUUGAAGGAGCGCGCCUGGAAAGUGCGUAUAUGGGAAACUGUAUCGCGGGUUCGAAUCCCGCUCUCUCCGCCA
RNAcentral lists this transfer RNA (90 nucleotides) under Cryomorphaceae bacterium BACL18 MAG-120924-bin36. RNAcentral's name for it is "tRNA-Ser". It matches the Rfam family "tRNA". From Rfam's summary of the family: Transfer RNA (tRNA) molecules are approximately 80 nucleotides in length. Their secondary structure includes four short double-helical elements and three loops (D, anti-codon, and T loops). RNAcentral also lists the same sequence under 2 other names. The record is from RNAcentral. Lineage: Bacteria; Pseudomonadati; Bacteroidota; Flavobacteriia; Flavobacteriales; Cryomorphaceae.